UGCCCUCAGGAGCCUGAUGACAGA
RNAcentral lists this unclassified non-coding RNA (24 nucleotides) under Mus musculus (house mouse). Its description in RNAcentral is "oocyte_clustered_small_RNA12392". Lineage: Eukaryota; Metazoa; Chordata; Mammalia; Rodentia; Muridae. The record is from RNAcentral.